GACGAACGCUGGCGGCGUGCUUAACACAUGCAAGUCGAACGGAAAGGCCCGGCUGUUGUGGGGUGCUCGAGGGGCGAACGGGGGAGUAACACGUGAGUAACCUGCCCUUGACUUUGGGAGAACUUCAGGAAACUGGGGCUAAUACCGGAUAGGAGCUCCUGCUGCAGGGGGGGGGUGGGAAAGUUUCGGCGGUAGGGGAUGGACUCGCGGCUUAUCAGCUUGUUGGUGGGGUAGUGGCAUACCAAGGCUUUGACGGGUAGCCGGCCUGAGAGGGUGACCGGCCACAUUGGGCCUGCGCUACGGCCCAGACUCCAACGGGAGGCAGCAGUGGAGAGUAUUGCACAAUGGGCGGGAGCCUGAUGCGGCAGCGCCGCGUGCGGUAUGCCGGCCUUCGGGUUGUAAACCGCUUUCGCCUGUGACGAAGCGUGAGUGACGGUACUGGGUAAAGAAGCACCGGCUAACUACGUG
RNAcentral lists this ribosomal RNA (468 nucleotides) under uncultured bacterium. RNAcentral's name for it is "partial 16S ribosomal RNA". It matches the Rfam family "Bacterial small subunit ribosomal RNA", at positions 28 to 507 of the family's 1533-position model. The record is from RNAcentral.